UACAUGGGGUGCAAACGUUGCUCGGAAUCAUUGGGCGUAAAGGGCCAGUAGGCGGCCAACUAAGUCGGAUGUGAAAUCCCCAGGCUCAACUUGGGAACUGCAUCCGAUACUGGAUGGCUUGAAUUCGGGAGAGGGAUGCAGAAUUCCAGGUGUAGCGGUGAAAUGCGUAGAUAUCUGGAGGAACACCGGCGGCGAAGGCGGCACUCUGGGCCGGUACUGACGCUGAGGAGCGAAAGCGUGGGUAGCAAACAGG
This 253-nucleotide ribosomal RNA is filed under the name uncultured bacterium. RNAcentral describes it as "partial 16S ribosomal RNA". It matches the Rfam family "Bacterial small subunit ribosomal RNA", at positions 524 to 776 of the family's 1533-position model. The record is from RNAcentral.